RNAcentral lists this ribosomal RNA (460 nucleotides) under uncultured bacterium. RNAcentral's name for it is "partial 16S ribosomal RNA". It matches the Rfam family "Bacterial small subunit ribosomal RNA", at positions 338 to 795 of the family's 1533-position model. The record is from RNAcentral.
CCUACGGGAGGCAGCAGUGAGGAAUCUUGGUCAAUGGGCGCGAGCCUGACCCAGCCAAGUAGCGUGAAGGAUGACUGCCCUACGGGCUGUAAACUUCUUUUAUAAAGGAAUAAAGUGAGGCACGUGUGCCUUUUUGUAUGUACUUUAUGAAUACGGAUCGGCUAACUCCGUUCCAGCCGCCGCGGUAAUACGGAGGAUCCGAGCGUUGUCCGGAUUUAUUGGGUUUAAAGGGAGCGUAGGUGGGUUGUUAAGUCAGUUGUGAAAGUUUGCGGCUCAACCGGAAAAGUGCAAUUGAUACUGGCAGUCUUGAGUACAGUUGAGGUAGGCGGAAUUCGUGGUGUAGCGGUGAAAUGCUUAGAUAUCACGAAGAACUCCGAUUGCGAAGGCAGCUUACUAAACUGCCACUGACAUUGAGGCUCGAAAGUGUGGGUAUCAAACAGGAUUAGAUACCCGAGUAGUC